Pan troglodytes (chimpanzee) is the source of this 2246-nucleotide long non-coding RNA. RefSeq lists it as uncharacterized. The record is from RefSeq and is a predicted model, not a curated record. Lineage: Eukaryota; Metazoa; Chordata; Mammalia; Primates; Hominidae. The transcript has 3 exons.
GCGUCAUAGUGGUUCUCACGGUUGUCUUAGGAACCAGUCCCCGAGGCUUGGCAACGCGGGAGCCCUCCGUGGCAGCGCUUGGGUGUCAGGCCUCCGAGGCUCCGGCCUGACCUCUCCACGGAGUCCACAGGAACGUCUCCGGCUGCCAAGAGUCGCAAGGGGCCGAGCAGGAUGAUGAAACCACAGGCGGAGUCCGGGUUAAGCAGCGUGGCAUCCCAGCUUCAGGCCUGCCAGGACGGUGUUCGGGAUCAAGAGGACCACACUCCACCCAGGACAAAAGCCCCACGGUAGCACAUUUUCUGGCAGGAGAGGAGCAGACCCACGUCCAAGAAGAUGGUUUUACCUUUCCACGCCUCUUCUCUGCGAAAUGAAGCCACAGAACGACACAGUCUUGAAGAGGAAGCCGUGAAUGGGAGACUGCAACAAUCCAUAUCCCUGGAACGCUGGCCUCUCUGGACAAGCCACGCACUUUGCACCCCUCCUGUUAUGCCCGUGGCGGUGGCACGGCGCUGUAUCCUACCUGGGCUCUGGCCUCCACUCUGUCCUCCCUCUUGCUCUGUCUCCCCUGUUUCUGAGCGGCCUAGUUGCCUCUUGGCCUGGCUGUAUAUCUUCUACAAAGAUCACUUCCCAGUCCAUCAGGGAGUCUCUUCCUGGAGAUCCGUGUCAUGACUGUUUCUCUCUCCAAACCUGUUUCUGCUGGGUUGGUUAGGUCUGGUGACCCUGGAGCUCUUGUCUUCCAUACGUGUCUCAGCCAGGGAAGCUUCCUCGGUCUCCAUGUUUCACCUCAUUUGUGGGUGGAUUGUCUAGAAUUAAUUGUAGGCGACAGUGACUGGUCUUGUCUUCUAGGACAGGAGAGGUGCCGCAUUUCUUCUGCACUUCCUGUCUCAUCCUUUAGGGACAUGCUCUCCUCUGCUCCUGGGUGUACUGAGUCCCUGAAUCUUUUGGCCCCCUCCUGCAUCCCAGGUGUUCUUUGAUUUUCCUUCGCAUUGAUGGAAAGGUCACUUGUGCCCCGCUUCUGCCGGCCACAUGCCUGGACACCAUUUUUUGUUUUGCCAUCGCCCCAUACGCCCUCGGUGACACACGUUUACGCCAUCUGCUCUGCGGUACGCCGUGCCACGUAUGGUCUCAUUGGCUCCACCUCGGAAUUUCCCCUGUCCCUGUGUUCACGUGUCCUGGAAAGUGGUAUCAGCUUUCAAGUGCCCCAGGGCUUUUCUUUUUUCAAAGGAGAAGGGAGGCAUCGGUGAAUUUUCAGCUGACACCUCGCCUUGGGGCCCAUGGGAUCAUUCUGGGAUGCAGCGAGGCCCUGCCUGCCUAGCAGAUAUGGUGAGCCCAUCCUUUCUCACCCGGAGGGGUCCAAAGUCGGAUCUCAAGAGGAGUCCUGGGACCCCAGCAGGCGCCCAGAAGCUCCACCUCCACCCCGGAAGUCAGCUUAGGGAGGUCCUCAAGACCGGACUCCUGGGGGUUUGGCCUGUGGCCUCCUCUCCCACGCUGCCACGUACUGGACCCCUGAUCCAGCCGCCGCCAGGGCUGCAACGCGAGCCGCCCUUCCUCCGCGUAGCCGCUAUUGUUUAAAGGGGUCGCAGCCUGACUGCCAGGAGCGGAGUGCGACGCGGCCCCUCCAAUGCGCAUGCGCAAGGCCCUGGCGCAUGCUCCAGUCACAGUUAUUCCCACGGUUGUCUUAGAAACCCGUCCCUGAGGCUUGGCAAAGCAGGAGCCCUCCGUGGCAGUGCUUGGGUGUCGGGGCUCCGAGGCUCCGGCCUGACCUCUCCACGGGGUCAACAGGAACAUCUCUGGCUGCCAGGAGUCGCAAAGGGCCGACCAGGAUGACGAAACCACAGGCGAAGUCCGGGGGAAGCGGCAUGGCAUGCCAGCCUCAGGCCUGCCAGGACGGUGUUCGGGGGUGGAGCCAACCAAAGUCAAAGAAGAUUGUUGUAUCUUUUCACAGUUCUUCUCUGAGAACGAAGCCACACAACGAUAGAAUCUUGAAGAAGAAGCUAGGAAUGGGAGAUGGCAACAAUCCCUGUCACUGGAACACUGGCCUCUCUGGACAAGUCACCAGUUUGGCACCCCUCCCCUUAUGCCUGUACCGAUGGCAUGGUGCUAUAUCCUGCCUGGGCUCUGGCCUCUGCUCUGUCCUCCCUCUUGCUCUGUCUCCCCUGUUUCUGAGGGGCCUUGAUGUUUCUUGGUCUGUCUGAAUGUCUUCAACAAAGACCACUUCCCAGUCCUCCAGGGCGACACUUCCUGGA